AGAGUGUUGCGACGUUCGAGCCUCAGGUGGUAAAGGCCAGUGAUCACUGGACUCUCAGAAGACCAAUGCACGGGAAGCUUAUCACGAUGUCACCUGCCACGCACAGGUGACAACCUCCAAGGUCUCUGGGCCGAAAGGUGACUCCUGUCAACACAGCAGGACACUUCUGAGACCAAGCAAGCGUGAGGACGUCAGGCCACGGAGAGGGCGACUGGGAAGGACCACUUCUGGGACAGCGUGGCAUCCGUUUUAGCAGCGAGCGCACAGCCUGCGGUCCCUCCGGCGGCCGCACAAACGGCUUCGAUGAGUUGACGGUAUUUAACAUGAAACACGUCAGUCGAAGGAUCAGUUACCGCUCAGUGUAUAUUUAUUCCUUAUGUUCCAUCUUUCUUCAGUUUCCUAAUCCUUUUCUUCAGUGCCCACGAGUAAAAAAAGGGCGUUUUUACAAGUUAAAAACCAAGGCUGACCCAGAAGAGACAGCAAAACCACUUUCGGGCGGUCACUCUGAGCGUUUUUCUCACGCGUGGGGUCGGAGGCACCAAAACGUCCCCGCGGUCAGGGGGACAUAGCGGAACAGGAGACUCCAGCAAGUCGAGGCGUGCUCGGCCUGCGGAUGUGAACAUGUUGGGCUCUUGUUCCCCGUCGCCGUGUGUGAGAACAUCUCUUGGAUGCUGGAAAUUUGGGGUAUCAUUUGGGAAAAGUGUUAUUAUUCUUGAUCAUUGUGCCAGACUCACAGCUCGUCUUUCUGAAUGCCUGCGGCUGAAUUUCAGGAGCCAUUUGAGUAAGUACUGGAAGUUUUUGCUGUUAAAGCCACAUAUAGAGAAUGGAUUGAGUGUCAGAGGUCUUGAUUAUGAGGUUUUCAUUCCUGUAGCACGUUUAUACUUUUCACUAUGGAAUUAAAGAUACUAACUGUAAUAUUAUAUUAAUUACUUUUAAAGAUAUCAAUAUGAAAGAUAUUAAAGAAAGAAACCGUGUUUUCAAAAUUCUAAACAAUUUUAAGUGAU
Acinonyx jubatus (cheetah) is the source of this 1004-nucleotide long non-coding RNA. RefSeq lists it as uncharacterized. Lineage: Eukaryota; Metazoa; Chordata; Mammalia; Carnivora; Felidae. The transcript has 3 exons. The record is from RefSeq and is a predicted model, not a curated record.